Phyllopteryx taeniolatus (common seadragon) is the source of this 3243-nucleotide long non-coding RNA. RefSeq lists it as uncharacterized. The transcript has 9 exons. The record is from RefSeq and is a predicted model, not a curated record. NCBI's taxonomy places the organism in Eukaryota, Metazoa, Chordata, Actinopteri, Syngnathiformes, Syngnathidae.
GCAAUUAGCAUUUAUAAACACUCCAGGGUAAGUGGGAGGAAGAAGGAGGAGGCGCAAUUCAUAAGAUUCGUAGGCUGGAGGUGUGGGAAGGAGGGAAGUCAAAUGAAGACAAUAUAAUGUUCCAUCUCCAUCUCAAAAGUGCUGACUGUGAACCACUAAUUUCCUUUCUCCCACAACUGCAGGCUAUUAAUUGCACCCCCUUGAAAAAUGAAAAAUUGCCAGUGAACUGGAAAAAAAAUGCUCCCCUGACAAAAUGGUGUCAAAAAACAGCUUGAAGCAAGUGAAACUUCGGUGACUGCACCGAUCCGCCUGUCGAUCUCCUGUUCCAUUCUUCCCUCACUCGUGAACAAGACGCCUUGGGGCAGGGUCUCAUCCCCGAUCUGGAGAGGGCACUUCACCCUUUUCCGACUGAGGACCAUGGGCUCAGAUUUGGAGGUGCUGAUUUUCAUCCCAGCCACUUCACACUCUGCUGCGAACCGCUCCAGUGAGUGUUGGAGAUCACGACUUGAUGAAGCCAACAGAACCACAUCAUCUGCAAAAAGCAGAUACUUCGACGACCAAACCGGACCCCCUCUACGCCUCGAUUGCGCCUUGAAAUUCUGUCCAUAAAAGUAAUGAUCAGAAUCGGUGACAAAGGGAAGCCAUGGCAGAGUCCAACCCUCACCGGAAACGAGUCCAACUUACUACCAGCAAUGUGGACCAAACUCUGACACUGGUCAUACAGGGACCAAACUGCCCGUAUCAGGGGGUUCGGUACCACAUACUCCCAUGCAUCACCAAGGACCCUGCCGAGAGUGUAGAGCUGGUCCACUGUUCCACAGCCAGGACGAAAAGCACACUGCUCCUCCUGAAUCUGAGAUUCGACUUCCCGGCGGACCCUCCUCUCCAGCACCCUUGAAUAGACCUUACCAGGGUGGCUGAGGAGUGUGAUCCUCCUGUAGUUGGAACACACCCCCCAGUACCCUGUCUUAUAAAGGGGGACCACCACCCCAGUCUGCCAAUUCAGAGGCACUGUCCCCGAUGUCCAUGCAAUGUUGCAGAGGCGUGUCAACCAGGACAGCCCCAAACGUUCAGACGUUCCCAGAAGACCCUCACAAUAUGUUUGGGCCUGCCAGGUCGGAUCGGCAUCUUCGCCCACCAUCGGCGCCAACUCGCCACCAAGUGCUGAUCAGUUGACAGCUCCGCCCCUCUCUUUCCCCGAGUGUCCAAGACAUGCGGCCGCAAGUCCGAUGACACAACCACAAAGUCGAUCAUCGAACUGCAACCUAGGGUCUCCUGGUACAAAGUGCACGUGUGGACACACUUAUGCUUGAACAUGGUGUUCGUUAUGGACAAUCCAUCAUGAGCACAGAAAUCCAAUAACAGAACACCACUCGGGUUGUGAUCAGGGGGCAUUCCUCCCAAUCAGGCCCUUUCAGGUCUCACUGACAUUGCCCACGUGAGCAUUGGAGUACCCCUGCAGAACGAUGGAGUCCGCAGCGGGUGCGCUCUUCAGCACCCCCUCCAAGGACUCCAAAUAAGCAGCUACGUUCAGCGGACAUGGAAAGGUCUUCUUCCCAUUUGGUUAUUGUGCAGUGUCAGCAGUGGACUCGGCCCACCUGACUGAGAUUUCCUGUGGUGGUGCUCAGCUUGUACAGCGCCCAGCCCGGUACCAGCAGGAUGGAGGAGAGAACCAUCAUCCAGCCCAACAAGUAGGCCCAGUGAGACUCAAGAGGAUUUCAAGUUUACCUGACUCAGCCACAUCUGCGAUAGUAACGCCAUGCUCAUGAGCCAUGAAUCCCAGCACCGAGAAGACAGCAAAGCCAGCUACCACACUGGUGCAACUGUUGAGCAAACACAGCCAAAAGCAGUCCCUGCAACACACAAACAAGUAUUUUCUGAGCAAUGGGUUCCAAUUAUUGAAAGGCUGUAGCUCUUCGCAACAGUUGGAAUGAGUGCAAUGUCAGCUAGUGGCAUAUGCUGACCAAAGCCCUCCUUAAAUUUGUCCAAAGGGACCAUUUGUAACCCAGAUAAUUACACAAGUAGAAUUUGGACUAUAACAUUCUGGGAAGCGUUACAUUUAUUCGAGUAACAUAUUGGUAGUACUGUGUUGUGACGCUUACUUGUAGCAAUUGUUGCUGUGGGUGUUGUAGCUACCCAGUACAGCCAGGGUGCCCACACCGAUGCUGUAUGAGAAGAAGAGCUGCGAGAUGGCGUCCAUCCACACCUGUGUAAAAAGACACCUGCUGUCAUUAGUACGUUUGCCUUCCAUCACAAUGCACGCAACACAUUCCUACUUGAGAGUCUGUGAGUCGCGACAGCUCGGGCAGAAGGUAGAACUCCACUCCUUGUCUGGCUCCCGGAAGAGUGAGUCCCCGGAUCAAAAGGACGAGGAGCAUCACUUGGUGCUGUUUAAUGGACUUCACCUUUCCAGUUGAUUUGACCCCUUUCCAGAUGCAGAAGUAACAAAUGACCCACACAGCCAGGAGGCACAGAAGCACCUCCCACCUGAUGCUGCCAAUCUCCUCAAUACCUCCAGAGAUUUUCAACACUCGACGUCUGGAAAGGAAUUCUGUUGCUGCUGAGGUUCCUUUGCUGUGGUUCCUUAUUGUAACAUCGACACAAUCAACUGAAAGAAUAAAAGUAGUUGUCGCAGGUGCUCCAGGGCAGCGUGGAGUUGAAGGAGAACACCAGGUAGAAGAGAGCCCAGGACAGAAUAAUGAUGUAGGUCGUGCAGCUGUACAACAGGAUGAGCUGCCCGCCGUAGCCAAUACCUGACGGACAUCACACAUUUCAGAAUGGCAAGCUUAUACAUGAUGGAUUGUUGCCCACCUUCAGCCAGGGGGCAAAUCUUCCUCCAGCAGCUGAUCCCCCCCUCUUGGGUGUGCUGGCCCAUGCUGGUCUCCAAAAGGAAGAGCGGAACACCACACGUCACCAGAAACACCAGAUAUGGCACCAGGAAUGCACCUGAAUGUUACACAUACUCUAUGUAAACUAACUACAACUGGGAGUGACGAACAGCUUGAAGCAAGUGCGAUUUCCCUCUCAUUCAGAGAAUUGUUCGCGAUCUGUCAAAUUGCACAUAGACAGUGAAAGAAAAAAAGACUACUGCGCCUUUGAACAAGGUACCGUGGCGUCAUGAGCCUCAAUUUCAUUCAUUCAGCACGACUCCUAAUUGCCUCGUUGUCUUAAUUUAAACAUUGUAAAGGUCCUUUUGUUCUUUUUAUGCACACACACUUUUACUUUCAGCUUUGUCUGCACUAC